Molecule: ribosomal RNA, 484 nt
Filed under: uncultured bacterium
Lineage: Bacteria
Description: partial 16S ribosomal RNA
Rfam family: Bacterial small subunit ribosomal RNA
Source: RNAcentral
AUUGAACGCUGGCGGCAGGCCUAACACAUGCAAGUCGAGCGGAUGAAGGGAGCUUGCUCCUGGAUUCAGCGGCGGACGGGUGAGUAAUGCCUAGGAAUCUGCCUGGUAGUGGGGGAUAACGUCCGGAAACGGGCGCUAAUACCGCAUACGUCCUGAGGGAGAAAGUGGGGGAUCUUCGGACCUCACGCUAUCAGAUGAGACUAGGUCGGAUUAGCUAGUUGGUGGGGUAAAGGCCUACCAAGGCGACGAUCCGUAACUGGUCUGAGAGGAUGAUCAGUCACACUGGAACUGAGACACGGUCCAGACUACUACGGGAGGCAGCAGUGGGGAAUAUUGGACAAUGGGCGAAAGCAUGAUCCAGCCAUGCCGCGUGUGUGAAGAAGGUCUUCGGAUUGUAAAGCACGUUAAGUUGGGAGGAAGGGCAGUAAGUUAAUACCUUGCUGGUUUGACGUUACCAACAGAAUAAGCACCGGCUAACUUCGUG